This 403-nucleotide long non-coding RNA is filed under the name Brachypodium distachyon (stiff brome). RNAcentral describes it as "long non-coding RNA (BDIS_LNC001562)". The record is from RNAcentral. Lineage: Eukaryota; Viridiplantae; Streptophyta; Magnoliopsida; Poales; Poaceae.
ACCGCGUGUGCAGUAAUUUGAGUGCAGCCAAGGGAGUUGCAUCCUCCUUUUUUUAGGGGAAGACCAAGCUUUAUUCAACUCUAAAAAAAAAAGACACAAGCAAUGUCAGGAGACCAGACGCGGCGUCCGAACGAGAGGGGUGAAGCCUAAAUUAUGAGCAUCAGCCCAGCGGUUGCUCGAAGUGCAUUCGGCGAUCAAAAGCCCAAAGGAAGAGUGUCCGUACCAGUUCGGGCCCAAACAAAUCCUCAACCCCUGUACGAAAUACCCGAAGCAGGCCUAGUCAAGCAGCCCACGACACGGGAGGUUGGUCUCCAUGUGUAACAGCGAGCAGAGGUUCGCUCGCUCAAAAAAAAAAAAAAAGCGAACAGAGGAUGUGACCCAGAUUGCAGAGCAUCAUUUGGUA